This 274-nucleotide long non-coding RNA is filed under the name Homo sapiens (human). RNAcentral describes it as "HSALNT0342841". Lineage: Eukaryota; Metazoa; Chordata; Mammalia; Primates; Hominidae. The record is from RNAcentral.
AGAACACCAUGUGAAGAUGAAGGCAGAGGCAGAGAUGGGGAUAUUAAUGCUGAGAAAAAACUAACUUUAGUGCAACACACAGAAACAGCAUCAACUAUAAAGUUCUGGACAAAGAAAAAUGUAAUUUCUCCCACACCGAAGCCUUGGUUCCACUCAGGAUUGGGCAUCAUCAUAGACUUACCUCCUUGGAAGAGGAGAAGAGCUACUUAGUAACUCUCUUGAGAAAAAUCUCAGAUACCCUAAUCUGUUUUACGAGCAAAAUAGUAUGGAAAAG